This 63-nucleotide transfer RNA is filed under the name Candidatus Nitrosocosmicus arcticus. RNAcentral's name for it is "tRNA-OTHER". It matches the Rfam family "tRNA". From Rfam's summary of the family: Transfer RNA (tRNA) molecules are approximately 80 nucleotides in length. Their secondary structure includes four short double-helical elements and three loops (D, anti-codon, and T loops). Further hydrogen bonds mediate the characteristic L-shaped molecular structure. tRNAs have two regions of fundamental functional importance: the anti-codon, which is responsible for specific mRNA codon recognition, and the 3' end, to which the tRNAs corresponding amino acid is attached (by aminoacyl-tRNA synthetases). tRNAs cope with the degeneracy of the genetic code in two manners: having more than one tRNA (with a specific anti-codon) for a particular amino acid; and 'wobble' base-pairing, i.e. permitting non-standard base-pairing at the 3rd anti-codon position. The record is from RNAcentral. Lineage: Archaea; Thermoproteati; Nitrososphaerota; Nitrososphaeria; Nitrososphaerales; Nitrososphaeraceae.
GCGAGGUUGGCCCAGCCUGGUUAAGGUACGAGCGAAGUGCGGGUUCAAAUCCCGCACUUCGCA